RNAcentral lists this ribosomal RNA (400 nucleotides) under phytoplankton environmental sample. Its description in RNAcentral is "partial small subunit ribosomal RNA". It matches the Rfam family "Eukaryotic small subunit ribosomal RNA", at positions 587 to 977 of the family's 1831-position model. The record is from RNAcentral.
AGCUCCAAUAGGAUAUAUCAAAGUUGUUGCAGUUGAAAAGCUCGUAGUCGUAUUUCUGGUGGGUUGAUGUCGCAUCUCUUCGGGCGAAAGCUCGAGUUUUCUGCGGCCGCCUGCCAUUUUGUGGGACAACGUGGCCUGGUGUGGGUUAAACCACGCCUUGUCGCGCCACUCCGUCACUGAGAGCAAAUUGGAGUGCUCAAAGCAGGCUUUACAGCUUUGAACAUCUUAGCUUGGAAUGACAAAGUAUGACUUUUUGUUCACUUUGUUGGUUAUGAACGAGAAGUAAUGAUAAAUAGGAACAGUUGCGGGGGUACUCGUACUGGAAAGUCAGAGGUGAAAUUCUUGGAUUUUUCCAUGACGAACGACUGCGAAAGCAUUUACCAAGGAUGUUUUCAUUGAU